GUAGGCGGUUUGUCGCGUCUGCCGUGAAAGUCCGGGGCUUAACUCCGGAUCUGCGGUGGGUACGGGCAGACUUGAGUGAUGUAGGGGAGACUGGAAUUCCUGGUGUAGCGGUGAAAUGCGCAGAUAUCAGGAGGAACACCGAUGGCGAAGGCAGGUCUCUGGGCAUUAACUGACGCUGAGGAGCGAAAGCAUGGGGAGCGAACAGGAUUAGAUACCCUGGUAGUCCAUGCUGUAAACGUUGGGCACUAGGUGUGGGGGACAUUCCACGUUUUCCGCGCCGUAGCUAACGCAUUAAGUGCCCCGCCUGGGGAGUACGGCCGCAAGGCUAAAACUCAAAGGAAUUGACGGGGGCCCGCACAAGCGGCGGAGCAUGCGGAUUAAUUCGAUGCAACGCGAAGAACCUUACCAAGGCUUGACAUGAACCGGAACGGCGCAGAGAUGUGUCGGCCACUUGUGGCCGGUUUACAGGUGGUGCAUGGUUGUCGUCAGCUCGUGUCGUGAGAUGUUGGGUUAAGUCCCGCAACGAGCGCAACCCUCGUUCCAUGUUGCCAGCGGGUUAUGCCGGGGACUCAUGGGAGACUGCCGGGGUCAACUCGGAGGAAGGUGGGGACGACGUCAAAUCAUCAUGCCCCUUAUGUCUUGGGCUUCACGCAUGCUACAAUGGCCGGUACAAAGGGUUGCGAUGCUGUGAGGUGGAGCUAAUCCCAAAAAGCCGGUCUCAGUUCGGAUUGAGGUCUGCAACUCGACCUCAUGAAGUCGGAGU
RNAcentral lists this ribosomal RNA (763 nucleotides) under uncultured bacterium. Its description in RNAcentral is "bacterial SSU rRNA". It matches the Rfam family "Bacterial small subunit ribosomal RNA", at positions 571 to 1332 of the family's 1533-position model. The record is from RNAcentral.